This 467-nucleotide ribosomal RNA is filed under the name uncultured bacterium. RNAcentral describes it as "bacterial SSU rRNA". It matches the Rfam family "Bacterial small subunit ribosomal RNA", at positions 328 to 794 of the family's 1533-position model. The record is from RNAcentral.
UUGCCAGACUCCUACGGGAGGCAGCAGUGAGGAAUAUUGGUCAAUGGGCGAGAGCCUGAACCAGCCAAGUCGCGUGAGGGAGUACUGCCCUAUGGGUUGUAAACCUCUUUUGUCGGGGAGCAAAAGCCGGACGUGUCCGGCUGUGAGAGUACCCGAAGAAAAAGCAUCGGCUAACUCCGUGCCAGCAGCCGCGGUAAUACGGAGGAUGCGAGCGUUAUCCGGAUUUAUUGGGUUUAAAGGGUGCGCAGGCGGAUUUUUAAGUCAGCGGUCAAAUCGUGGGGCUCAACCCCAUCCAGCCGUUGAAACUGGGGAUCUAGAGUGUGCGAGAGGUAUGCGGAAUGCGUGGUGUAGCGGUGAAAUGCUUAGAGAUCAUACAGAACACCGAUUGCGAAGGCAGCUUACCAAUCUAUAUCUGACGUUGAGGCACGAAAGCGUGGGGAGCAAACAGGAUUAGAUACCCGAGUACU